UUUGCAGGUACGGCGAUUUGACUCCGACAAGUGUUUUUGGUAAAGUAGUUGGAGGUGCUUGUUCGCUAAUAGGUGUGCUUACUUUAGCUCUACCAGUUCCAAUUAUUGUAAGUUGCAAA
Molecule: non-coding RNA, 119 nt
Organism: Enterobius vermicularis (human pinworm)
Lineage: Eukaryota; Metazoa; Nematoda; Chromadorea; Rhabditida; Oxyuridae
Source: Rfam